AGUCAUAUCACGUUGAAACACCGCUUCUAGUACGAUCACUGACGUUAAGCAACGUCUAGCCUGGUCACUACAUAGAUGGGUGACCGCUUGUGAAUACCGUGUGCUGUAAG
Molecule: non-coding RNA, 110 nt
Organism: Acanthosepion pharaonis
Lineage: Eukaryota; Metazoa; Mollusca; Cephalopoda; Sepiida; Sepiidae
Source: the annotation of a GenBank genome assembly